RNAcentral lists this ribosomal RNA (251 nucleotides) under uncultured bacterium. RNAcentral describes it as "partial 16S ribosomal RNA". It matches the Rfam family "Bacterial small subunit ribosomal RNA", at positions 524 to 776 of the family's 1533-position model. The record is from RNAcentral.
GACAGAGGGUGCGAGCGUUAAUCGGAAUUAUUGGGCGUAAAGCGUACGUAGGCGGAUAUUUAAGUCAGGUGUAAGCCCACGGCUCAACCGUGGAAUUGCGUUUGAAACUAUUCAGCUUGAGUACAGGAGAGGAAGGCGGAAUUCCCAGUGUAGCGGUGAAAUGCAUUGAUAUUGGGAAGAACACCGGUGGCGAAGGCGGCCUUCUGGUCUGUUACUGACGCUGAGAUACGAAAGCCAGGGGAGCAAAGGGG